RNAcentral lists this non-coding RNA (29 nucleotides) under Mus musculus (house mouse). Lineage: Eukaryota; Metazoa; Chordata; Mammalia; Rodentia; Muridae. The record is from RNAcentral.
GUGGUUAAGAGUGCCGACUGCUCUUCCAA